CCUACGGGUGGCAGCAGUGAGGAAUAUUGGUCAAUGGACGAGAGUCUGAACCAGCCAAGUAGCGUGAAGGAUGACUGCCCUAUGGGUUGUAAACUUCUUUUAUAUGGGAAUAAAAUGUUCCACGUGUGGGAUUUUGUAUGUAUUUUAUGAAUAAGGAUCGGCUAACUCCGUGCCAGCAGCCGCGGUAAUACGGAGGAUCCGAGCGUUAUCCGGAUUUAUUGGGUUUAAAGGGAGCGUAGAUGGGUUGUUAAGUCAGUUGUGAAAGUUUGCGGCUCAACCGUAAAAUUGCAAUUGAUACUGGCAGCCGUGAGUACAGUUGAGGUAGGCGGAAUGCGUGGUGUAGCGGUGAAAUGCUUAGAUAUCACGAAGAACUCCGAUUGCGAAGGCAGCCUACUAAACUGCCACUGACAUUGAUGCUCGAAAGUGUGGGUAUCAAACAGGAUUAGAUACCCUAGUAGUC
This 460-nucleotide ribosomal RNA is filed under the name uncultured bacterium. RNAcentral describes it as "partial 16S ribosomal RNA". It matches the Rfam family "Bacterial small subunit ribosomal RNA", at positions 338 to 795 of the family's 1533-position model. The record is from RNAcentral.